This 327-nucleotide long non-coding RNA is filed under the name Manihot esculenta (cassava). RNAcentral's name for it is "long non-coding RNA (MESC_LNC011855)". Lineage: Eukaryota; Viridiplantae; Streptophyta; Magnoliopsida; Malpighiales; Euphorbiaceae. The record is from RNAcentral.
AAAUCGGACCGCUACCGGCGCUAGGAUCCGGGUCGACUUAAGGCCGCCGGGACCCGUAGCAAGCCUAACAUAAUACCUGUAAACCUGUAUAAUCCCAUACAUGAUCAACAAUAAGCAUAAAAAUUAAAACUUUCUUUACAUAUUCAUCAACCAAACUCAACCUGUGCAUAACAUUAACAUAACAUUGAUCCCUCUGUGGGAUCUCAUCUGUGCCCUCAAGGGGUAACAUAACCUGUGUUGAGCUGGUUUACAUAAACAUCAUCAAAAUCUCUAGAUCAUGUAUAAAAGGGAUACAACAAUCUAUGGUCAAGCACAUACUAACAUCCA